CACGUAGGCGGCCUGGUAAGUCAGAUGUGAAAGCCCGGGGCUUAACCCCGGAAGUGCAUUUGAUACUGUCAGGCUUGAGUAUGGGAGAGGGAAGUGGAAUUCCUGGUGUAGAGGUGAAAUUCGUAGAUAUCAGGAGGAACACCGGUGGCGAAGGCGACUUCCUGGACCAAUACUGACGCUGAGGUGCGAAGGCGUGGGGAGCAAACAGGAUUAGAUACCCUGGUAGUCC
Molecule: ribosomal RNA, 229 nt
Filed under: uncultured bacterium
Lineage: Bacteria
Description: partial 16S ribosomal RNA
Rfam family: Bacterial small subunit ribosomal RNA
Source: RNAcentral